UGUAGUGUAGCGUAGAUUCGAGAGGAUAGAAAGAUGGUGGGGAAUUCUGAGAGGAAAGUGUACAGAUAGAUGGAUUAAUCACUUUAAGGGCCUUAGUUCAGUAUUGUUACAUGGAUAUUAUUAGGACAGAAUUGGAGGAAGUUAAAUUUUCGUGGAAUAACCAUCGCAUCAGGAGCCAGAAAAUGGGAGAUACUGUUCCUGGAAUUCCAGAAGUACUUUAUCAUGUUCCAGAAAUGUUAGGUCAGAUAUUUUUGGUACUCCAGAAUGUAAAAAUUACAUCCAUCCUCUCAAUGUGAAUGAGGAGAAGUUCAAGUUUUUGAAGAGCCAGUGCCGUUUUGAAAAUGACUUCGAUAAAGAUAUUAAGGAAGCAUUUGAUGUUAUCUGCAACUAUUACCGUCCUUCAUCAAUAUAUGAAGCCAAAGCAAUGUAUAUUUCACUGAAAGAUAUAUUGGAGCAGUAUAUAUAUAAUUGAUCAUAUAUGUGAAUUUUGGUAGUCUGACAAGUUCAAAGUCACUGACAGAAAACAGUUAAUAUAUAAAAUGAAGUUAAUUUUAAUUUUAUGCAUUCAUGAACAGUAGGAUUAUAUUUACUUUUUUGUAUUGAAAAAUUAUGACCUUUUGACCUUUUACUUUUCGGUGUUUAUGUAGAUUCAUUCCUUUUUAGCUAACCUGAGCUAUUCUGAUCAAGUGUUUGUCCAUUUUCCUCUUCAUCAUAGUCCUCAUUGUCAUAAACUUUUAUUGAAAUUGAAAAUUUAUUUACUUAAUCCUGAGUUGUUCCCCUUUUAUUGUAUUAUUAUAGUUGUUUCAGUCUGAUUGAUAAAAAUUCUAUUAUGUUAACUGUACAAGA
This is a long non-coding RNA of Saccostrea cuccullata (small rock oyster), 846 nucleotides long. RefSeq lists it as uncharacterized. NCBI's taxonomy places the organism in Eukaryota, Metazoa, Mollusca, Bivalvia, Ostreida, Ostreidae. The record is from RefSeq and is a predicted model, not a curated record. The transcript is spliced from 4 exons.